UUACAUCUUCUCUUGAGUUUGCAGUUGUUUCCUACCUCCGUUGUUCCUUGGGAUUUACUUUUGUGCUCCUUGCUCCUUCAUUUGGGUUGUUUUGGAUUCGUCACAGACAUUUUUAAUCUGGAGAAAUGCUGGAACUUACUCGUCGGCUCUGCUGGUGACACUUCUGGGACAAGGAAGACGUGACAGAGAGUUCAUGACCUCCUCCCCAUCACAGCUCUCAUGGCCAUCCUUCACCAUUUGACUGAGCAUGUGUCUCAGCACCUCAUCCAGAGUGGCAGCUUUCUCAUCCAAAAGGAUGCUGGCCUGGGCAAGGAAGCUGUACCGAAAGACACACUAUGUCUGCGAGUUCAAAGCAGGAAAAAGUAUGCAGACGAUCAUGCCCCCCCUCUACAGGAGAUGUGACCAGUUACUGAUGGGAGAGAUUCAUAUGAUCACAAACCUCCAAGACCUCCACUACAGCCUGAGAAUCCAAAAAUAAAAGAAGGAAAGGACCCUGUCUGCUGUCUGUCCCACAACCAGAUAAAACCUACAACAUCCCAGCUGAUACAGAGAAGGGAAGGGCAGCAGUCUUCCAGAAAACAGUCUUAUAUUUCUCCAGGCUCCCCACUGUCCAGAUCAUGGCAUCAAUUGGCCUUUGACUAUGACCUUACUUGCCAGCAUACAUAGAUAUACACAAAUGAAUAGGUUACGUGAAUGUAUUCACUUUUCUUUUCUUUUUUCACGUCUAAGAAAAUCUUGUUAGUCCUGAGAAAAAAUCUGAAUUAUAGGAAAAGGUGAAUAUUCAAUGAUAAAAUGUCAGAAUUGUAAGAAAUCAUUUUAAAUUCAAUGAUGGGGGUGAACAUUUUUUAAAAAAGGUCAUAAUUAAAAAAAAAAGACAGAUUUAUGAAAGAAAGUCUGAAUAUUAGGAAAAACAAAUAAUUUAAAAAAAAAAGUCAGAAUUCUUAAAUAAAAGUCAGAUGUCUUAGACUUAAAAGAAAAAGUCAGAAUAUGAUACGUCAGACUUUAUAGAAUGUUGAGAUUAAAUCUGAGAUCUCAGAUUUUCUCAGAAUUAUCUUAAAAACAAAAAAAAAUGAGAUCUGAAAAAAAAUCAGUGGCUCUUAUCCUUGUUUUUGUUCAUGAAUAUGCAUUGGCAGAGGGAAAAGCAUGCACACUUACCAAAUGAAUGCACUUAACUUUUUGAGGAGUACAGAUUAUGUCAAAAAUCCCUUUAGGUGCAAUUAAAACGAAAUGUGUACAACUUUC
Long non-coding RNA from Notolabrus celidotus (New Zealand spotty), 1242 nucleotides. RefSeq lists it as uncharacterized. Lineage: Eukaryota; Metazoa; Chordata; Actinopteri; Labriformes; Labridae. The transcript has 5 exons. The record is from RefSeq and is a predicted model, not a curated record.